Molecule: ribosomal RNA, 301 nt
Filed under: uncultured bacterium
Lineage: Bacteria
Description: partial 16S ribosomal RNA
Rfam family: Bacterial small subunit ribosomal RNA
Source: RNAcentral
CAGCCGCCGCGGUAAUACGGAGGGUGCAAGCGUUAAUCGGAAUUACUGGGCGUAAAGCGUGCGUAGGCGGUUCGUUAAGUCUGUUGUGAAAGCCCCGGGCUCAACCUCGGAACUGCCUUCAAUACUGGCGAUCUUGAGUAUGAGAGAGGUGUGUGGAACUCCGAGUGUAGAGGUGAAAUUCGUAGAUAUUCGGAAGAACACCAGUGGCGAAGGCGACACACUGGCUCAUUACUGACGCUGAGGCUCGAAAGCGUGGGGGGCAAACAGGAUUAGAUACCCCGGUAGUCCCUGUCUCUUAUAC